RNAcentral lists this ribosomal RNA (724 nucleotides) under uncultured bacterium. RNAcentral's name for it is "bacterial SSU rRNA". It matches the Rfam family "Bacterial small subunit ribosomal RNA", at positions 1 to 717 of the family's 1533-position model. The record is from RNAcentral.
UCGAUUAGAGUUUGAUUAUGGCUCAGGAUGAACGCUAGCGGCAGGCUUAAUACAUGCAAGUCGUGGGGCAGCAGGUCUGUAGCAAUACAGAUGCUGGCGACCGGCAAACGGGUGCGUAACACGUACGCAACCUUCCCGUUACUGGGGAAUAGCCCAGGGAAACUUGGAUUAAUACCCCAUAUUAUAUUGAUCAGGCAUCUGGUUAAUAUCAAAGCUUCGGCGGUAACGGAUGGGCGUGCGGCUGAUUAGGUAGUUGGCGGGGUAACGGCCCACCAAGCCUACGAUCAGUAGCUGAUGUGAGAGCAUGAUCAGCCACACGGGCACUGAGACACGGGCCCGACUCCUACGGGAGGCAGCAGUAAGGAAUAUUGGUCAAUGGACGAAAGUCUGAACCAGCCAUGCCGCGUGGAGGAUGAAGGUCCUCUGGAUUGUAAACUUCUUUUCUCUGGGGCGAAAAAAGCCUUUUCUAGGGCACUUGACAGUACCAGAGGAAUAAGCACCGGCUAACUCCGCGCCAGCAGCCGCGGUAAUACGGAGGGUGCAAGCGUUAUCCGGAUUCACUGGGUUUAAAGGGUGCGUAGGCGGGCAGGUAAGUCAGUGGUGAAAUCCCCGGGCUUAACUUGGGAACUGCCGUUGAUACUAUCUGUCUUGAAUAUCGUGGAGGUGAGCGGAAUAUGUCAUGUAGCGGUGAAAUGCUUAGAUAUGACAUAGAACACCCAUUGCG